GACGAACGCUGGCGGCGUGCUUAACACAUGCAAGUCGAACGGAAAGGCCUCUUUCGGGGGGUACUCGAGUGGCGAACGGGUGAGUAACACGUGAGUAACCUGCCCUUUACUUUGGGAUAUCUUCAGGAAACUGGGGCUAAUACCGGAUAGGAGCUCCUGCUGCGUGGUGGGGGUUGGAAAGUUUCGGCGGGUGGGGAUGGACUCGCGGCUUAUCAGCUUGUUGGUGGGGUAGUGGCUUACCAAGGGUUUGACGGGUAGCCGGGCUGAGAGGGUGACCGGCCACAUUGGGACUGAGAUACGGCCCAGACGCCUACGGGAGGCAGCAGUGGGGAAUAUUGCACAAUGGGUGGAAGGCUGAUGCAGGAACGCCGUGGGCGGGAUGACGGGCUUCGGGUUGUAAACCGCCUUCGCUCAUGACGAAGCUUUGUGUGACGGUAGUGGGUAAAGAAGCACCGGCUAACUACGUG
This 467-nucleotide ribosomal RNA is filed under the name uncultured bacterium. RNAcentral's name for it is "partial 16S ribosomal RNA". It matches the Rfam family "Bacterial small subunit ribosomal RNA", at positions 28 to 507 of the family's 1533-position model. The record is from RNAcentral.